GACGAACGCUGGCGGCGUGCUUAACACAUGCAAGUCGAACGGAAAGGCCCUGCUUUUGUGGGGUGCUCGAGUGGCGAACGGGUGAGUAACACGUGAGUAACCUGCCCUUGACUUAGGGAUAACUUCAGGAAACUGGGGCUAAUACCGGAUAGGAGCUCCUGCUGCAUGGUGGGGGUUGGAAAGUUUCGGCGGUUGGGGAUGGACUCGCGGCUUAUCAGCUUGAUGGUGGGGUAGUGGCUUACCAAGGCUUUGACGGGUAGCCGGCCUGAGAGGGUGACCGGCCACAUUGGGACUGAGAUACGGCCCAGACUCCUACGGGAGGCAGCAGUGGGGAAUAUUGCACAAUGGGCGGAAGCCUGAUGCAGCAACGCCGCGUGCGGGAUGACGGCCUUCGGGUUGUAAACCGCUUUCGCCUGUGACGAAGCGUGAGUGACGGUAAUGGGUAAAGAAGCACCGGCUAACUACGUG
Molecule: ribosomal RNA, 468 nt
Filed under: uncultured bacterium
Lineage: Bacteria
Description: partial 16S ribosomal RNA
Rfam family: Bacterial small subunit ribosomal RNA
Source: RNAcentral